GGAGGGUGGAUUGUAAUACCCGAAAAAUUCAAGUUAAUUUCCGAUGACGUUUUGGAAAUGAUUUCGUGGUCGUGGACACGAGUACGAAGCUUAGAGGAGUGUGGAAUUAGUUCGAACGAUUUUAUUUUGAAAACUGAACGUUUUAGGGGGGGUCAAAGGAGUUGACUUUUUAUACAUUGGGAAAUUGGGAAAACUUCCUUCAUGAAAGUUGUAGAGCGCGUCGAUACGAGUUCGUGGACAUAUGGAACGUAAUAUUCGGAGUUCGUAUGAAUAAGUUACGAAUAUUUGAAAAUUGGGAUUUUCUAUAAAUAUGAAAAAAAAUCCGAAUAUUGCAAAUGAGGACAGAAUUUCUGGAACUCCAGAAAUUUCUCCCCAUUUCUCUCCCGAGCCCAGCCGCGACCCCCUCCCUUCGUCACAUUCGUUCUUCCUCAUCCGGCCACCGAUUGAUGUGAAACAAAGUGGGUUUUUCUGGUCUCGACCCCCUUUACGAGUUUGUAGAAGAAAUCGAAGUGAAAUACGAGCUGUAUGAGGCUCUACAAGGUCGAGAAGAGAGCCUCGUCGGAGACGAAAUCGCUCUUCCCCACUUUUUCUGGGCUCUACUUUGUCUGGCCAUAUCUUCCUCUACAGGCCUCCGAUCGACCUGAUUCCAAAAGCAAUUUUUCUCACCGUGAAGUUUUCUACAACUUUCCAGAAGACAUCGACUUGAGAUAACCAUCGUGGUGGCCGCUAGAAGACCGAGAAGCCGCACAGCCGAGCUGGAAAUCGUCUUCCUUCGCCACCUUGGUUCUCCCAGCUCCGGCCACUAUAGCUCGAGUUCUUUGAGGGCUUUUCUAGCCCAGAGGAAGUAGAAGCUAUCCCCAAGAAGGCUUGCAGCGAUUUGAUCCGGGGUGAUCGAAUUUUGAAGAUUGGGAAACUAGGGUUCUUCGGGUUUCAAAACUUGCGAGGUGAUUGACGGUCUCCCUUGGGUGAACGAUUUCGGUGUGUAUUGUGUUGAAUUGAAGACGCAGCGGGAAUAUCGAGCGGGUAAUCCUGCAGGUCAGGAGAAUCAGGGCGGUGAUCGAGCGGGUUAGAGUAUUUGUUAUAGUUUUACAGCAUUUGUAAUAGUGAGGUGAGUUAAGCUCAUUGAGCCUUACAAUUUGAUUUAGUGAGAGUGUGUUGUAAUAAUUAACUUGAGGAUUUGAUUUAUUGUAAUAUUGAGAGGUGUGAAGUGUGGUUGUUUGUGAGAAAAAAAUUCAGGACGUUUAUUCUAUUAAGUUGUAUAAUUCAUGUUUCGGAUUUGGAUUUGUUAUUCAAAAUCCGGGGCGUGACAUGUCUCCUUUCUUUUACCAAAAGUAUUGGAACUUGGUUAGUCUUGAUGUAUCUAAUGCAGUUACAAACUCAUUGGAGAUGGGGAAGUUUUGGGAUCAAUCUAAUUAUACCUACUUGUGUCUUAUACCAAAAAUAAGAGAUCCAGCUCAUUUCAGGCCUAUUGCACUGUG
This is a long non-coding RNA of Rosa rugosa (rugosa rose), 1478 nucleotides long. RefSeq lists it as uncharacterized. The record is from RefSeq and is a predicted model, not a curated record. NCBI's taxonomy places the organism in Eukaryota, Viridiplantae, Streptophyta, Magnoliopsida, Rosales, Rosaceae. The transcript has 3 exons.